This 165-nucleotide ribosomal RNA is filed under the name uncultured bacterium. RNAcentral's name for it is "partial 16S rRNA". It matches the Rfam family "Bacterial small subunit ribosomal RNA", at positions 355 to 511 of the family's 1533-position model. The record is from RNAcentral.
UAGGGAAUCUUCGGCAAUGGACGAAAGUCUGACCGAGCAACGCCGCGUGAGUGAAGAAGGUUUUCGAAUCGUAAAACUCUGUUGGUAGAGAAGAACGUUGGUGAGAGUGGAAAGCUCAUCAAGUGACGGUAACUACCCAGAAAGGGACGGCUAACUACGUGCUAG